RNAcentral lists this ribosomal RNA (1200 nucleotides) under Triticum aestivum (bread wheat). Its description in RNAcentral is "partial small subunit ribosomal RNA". The record is from RNAcentral. Lineage: Eukaryota; Viridiplantae; Streptophyta; Magnoliopsida; Poales; Poaceae.
AUGUGGUGGGUCCAAUCACAUAGGGUGAACAAAUCGAGAAAUAAGAAUGACAGUGAUCCUCCCGGCUCCUCAGCCGUUUGGAUUCCUGGCCGUCGGAUCUGGUUGCUUGAUCGGAUCUGGGCCAUCGGAUCGAGUCCUUGGAAGACCUCGACCCCGCUCGCCCCGCCCUGUCGUCUCGCCAGUCCCGCCGCCCCGCCAUCUCACCUACCCCGCCCCGCCCCGCCCGUCCCGCUCGCCGUGGCCGAGGCCGAUGACCGCGGCCCCGCCGUCCCGCCCUGCCCGCCGCGGCGGCCAUGGACGAGCUCGAGCUCGAUGGGGAAGCAACGGGCCGCCCCGCCCGUCCCGCUCGCCGUGGCCUUCGCCGAUGACCGCGGCCCCGCGCAGCACAGCGCCGAGCUCGCCUCGCUCUGUUGUGUCCUCUCCUCCUGCCAGAUUCGCCGCUCACGGCCACCACCACUCACCCGCGACCCUGCCUCGUGGUUAGGGUUUCGGGUGUUCGCUCCAACACCGGCGGCCAUGGGGCUGCGCCUCCUCUCUGCCUCUGGUUGGAUUAUUGUUGAUGGGGUGUCGAGACAUGUGUCUGAACUACCUCAUGUGACUGAUGAAAGAGGGCAGGUGGCCGACCUCCUUGAUAUCCAUGCCAUAAUAACUGCAAUCUUGAGAUAUGGAUUCAGAGAUACUGUAACCAUAUAUGCAAUUUCUUCUAGCACCUGCGCCUACGGCGACCUCGACAUAGUCAAGGAGAUUCUAAAAAACUUAGCAAUGGCAGGGCUCCUGGAGCUCAAUCCUCACCACCACCAGCAGAUGAUGACGAUGCACAAGUGGAUGGUCCAUCUGAAGAUGGCGCAGCAGAGCACCGACAGCAACCACAUCAUGAAAGGGUCGAGGGAAGAUUAUCUGAUGUGUGUCACUGAAAACGAAGAAGAACCAUAUAAAUCAGUAUCCGGCGACGGUGACGCGGGGGCAGGCACAAGGAGGGGUGGUGAGCCUCCGGCGGCUGGGUUCCCCCCGAUCGCCCGGGUUGGGCGACACCUAAUUUAUAUGUAUAUAUUUACAUUCCUCAUGAACUUCGAGAUGAAUGGUUCUACUACAAAAUCCUUCAUGGUUGCUUUGCAUUUUGUACAUGUGAUUGCCUUGCCUUCUUCCAUGACUUUGGAAAAUGAUCAUAUACCAAAUAGCAAUAGUAUUGCGGUUGUUUAA